GAACGAGAAAGUGGAGCAAUCCAUGAGUAAAGUGGCGACCGGGUGAGUAACACGUGACUAACCUACCCUAGAGUGGGGGAUAACCUCGGGAAACCGGGGCUAAUACCGCAUAACAUCGCGAGGGGAAGAUCCUUGCGAUCAAAGGAGCAAUUCGCUCAAGGAGUGGGUCGCGGCUGAUUAGCUAGUUGGUGAGGUAACGGCUCACCAAGGCAAAGAUCAGUAGCCGGCCUGAGAGGGCGCACGGCCACACUGGAACUGAAACACGGUCCAGACUCCUACGGGAGGCAGCAGUGGGGAAUUUUGCGCAAUGGGGGAAACCCUGACGCAGCAACGCCGCGUGGAGGAUGAAGUCCCUUGGGAUGUAAACUCCUUUCGAUCGGGACGAUUAUGACGGUACCGGAAGAAGAAGCACCGGCUAACUCUGUG
RNAcentral lists this ribosomal RNA (426 nucleotides) under uncultured bacterium. Its description in RNAcentral is "bacterial SSU rRNA". It matches the Rfam family "Bacterial small subunit ribosomal RNA", at positions 64 to 507 of the family's 1533-position model. The record is from RNAcentral.